This 76-nucleotide transfer RNA is filed under the name Rhodovastum atsumiense. Its description in RNAcentral is "tRNA-Lys". It matches the Rfam family "tRNA". From Rfam's summary of the family: Transfer RNA (tRNA) molecules are approximately 80 nucleotides in length. Lineage: Bacteria; Pseudomonadati; Pseudomonadota; Alphaproteobacteria; Acetobacterales; Acetobacteraceae. RNAcentral also lists the same sequence under 2 other names. The record is from RNAcentral.
GAGCCCGUAGCUCAGCCGGUAGAGCACGAGACUUUUAAUCUUGGGGUCGUGGGUUCGAGUCCCACCGGGCUCACCA